Molecule: transfer RNA, 75 nt
Filed under: Bacteriophage sp.
Description: tRNA-Asn
Rfam family: tRNA
About the family: Transfer RNA (tRNA) molecules are approximately 80 nucleotides in length.
Source: RNAcentral
UCCUUGAUAGCUCAAUGGUGGAGCAAGAAGCUGUUAACUUCGAGGUUGUAGGUUCGAGUCCUGCUCAAGGAGCCA